AGUGAACGCUGGCGGUAGGCCUAACACAUGCAAGUCGAACGGCAGCACAGGAGAGCUUGCUCUCUGGGUGGCGAGUGGCGGACGGGUGAGGAAUACAUCGGAAUCUACUCUGUCGUGGGGGAUAACGUAGGGAAACUUACGCUAAUACCGCAUACGACCUACGGGUGAAAGCAGGGGAUCUUCGGACCUUGCGCGAUUGAAUGAGCCGAUGUCGGAUUAGCUAGUUGGCGGGGUAAAGGCCCACCAAGGCGACGAUCCGUAGCUGGUCUGAGAGGAUGAUCAGCCACACUGGAACUGAGACACGGUCCAGACUCCUACGGGAGGCAGCAGUGGGGAAUAUUGGACAAUGGGCGCAAGCCUGAUCCAGCCAUACCGCGUGCGUGAAGAAGGCCUUCGGGUCGUAAAGCCCUUUUGUUGGGAAAGAAAUCCAGCUGGCUAAUACCCGGUUGGGAUGACGGUACCCAAAGAAUAAGCACCGGCUAACCUCGUGCCAGCCGCCGCCGUAA
Molecule: ribosomal RNA, 506 nt
Filed under: uncultured bacterium
Lineage: Bacteria
Description: partial 16S ribosomal RNA
Rfam family: Bacterial small subunit ribosomal RNA
Source: RNAcentral